GAUGAACGCUGGCGGCGUGCCUAAUACAUGCAAGUCGUACGAACAGCGGAAAGUGCUUGCACUUUCCAAGUAAGUGGCGAACGGGUGAGUAACACGUGAAUAACCUACCUCAAAGACUGGGAUAACCAUUGGAAACAGAGACUAAUACCGAAUAAAACUUAGUGUCGCAUGACACAAAGUUAAAAGGCGCUUCGGCGUCACCUAGAGAUGGAUCCGCGGUGCAUUAGUUAGUUGGUGGGGUAAAAGCCUACCAAGACAAUGAUGCAUAGCCGUGUUGAGAGACUGAUCGGCCACAUUGGGACUGAGACACGGCCCAAACUCCUACGGGAGGCUGCAGUAGGGAAUCUUCCACAAUGGGCGCAAGCCUGAUGGAGCAACGCCGCGUGUGUGAUGAAGGCUUUCGGGUCGUAAAGCACUGUUGUAUGGGAAGAACGGGUUUAAGAGGAAAUGCUUAAGCAGUGACGGUACCAUACCAGAAAGGGACGGCUAAAUACGUGCCAGCAGCCGCAGUAAAAC
This 516-nucleotide ribosomal RNA is filed under the name uncultured bacterium. Its description in RNAcentral is "bacterial SSU rRNA". It matches the Rfam family "Bacterial small subunit ribosomal RNA", at positions 28 to 526 of the family's 1533-position model. The record is from RNAcentral.